RNAcentral lists this ribosomal RNA (254 nucleotides) under uncultured bacterium. RNAcentral's name for it is "partial 16S ribosomal RNA". It matches the Rfam family "Bacterial small subunit ribosomal RNA", at positions 524 to 776 of the family's 1533-position model. The record is from RNAcentral.
UACGGAGGGUGCGAGCGUUGUCCGGAAUCACUGGGCGUAAAGGGCGCGUAGGCGGCCGAGCAAGGUCGCGGUGAAAGCCCCGGGCUCAACCUGGGAAUGGCAUUGAGGACUGUGGACUAGAGUGCGGCAGAGGGAGGUGGAAUUCCACGUGUAGCAGUGAAAAUGCGUAGAGAUGUGGAGGAACACCGAUGGCGAAGGCAGCCUCCUGGGCCGACACUGACGCUGAGGGCACGAAAGCGUGGGGAGCAAACAGG